GCAACCUUUUUACCCUUUUUGCUGAAGGUAAAUAAAUUCACUGAAUUGUUACAACUUACAGAUGCUGGCAUGCUACAACCAGACAAGAAACAGAAGAUUUAUUCAUUCUUGAUACUACACCGUGGGGAGGAUCAAAAAGACGAGAGCUCUGCUCAAUAUAAAGCAUCUAGUUCUUUUAUUCUGGCUAAUUACAGAAGGUCGAUGUUGAUCUGCCACCCCCUUUUCUGUUUCAUAUCUCAUCAUAUUUACAGUCGUGGAAUCUCCCCCUACACCCUACAAAAAUUGCGAUUCCAUGAAAUUCCUUUCGGUGGUACUGGCUUCCCACCGUGUACAGAAACCUCCUUCUGCGGCAAUGUUAUUGAAUCCUUUCUACUAUUACCUGGCCUUUACAUAUACAGCAAGGAAAACGAAGAACCGCUUCUGACCCUCGUGCACAAAGGUAACGCG
This 447-nucleotide unclassified non-coding RNA is filed under the name Zea mays. RNAcentral's name for it is "misc RNA Zm00001eb328060". Lineage: Eukaryota; Viridiplantae; Streptophyta; Magnoliopsida; Poales; Poaceae. The record is from RNAcentral.